CUGUGCUAGGUGGGGCAGUAGCGGCGCCUUGUAACCCUCAAUCCGCUAUAGGGGGACUGAAUUCCUGCACGAGAAUACUGAUUCUGAGUAUUGUUAUAAGAAGUGGUGUUGAUGAUUAAGCCCAGCGCAAUUGUGAACUGUGAACCUUGUCAGAUCCGGAAGGGAGCAGCAAUAAGCAGAACUUACGAUGUGCCGUUGGUCUACUUGAUCUGAGCUAACUGGUAUUUCUUUGCAAAGAUAGGUAUCGAAUGUAGGUGCACAC
RNAcentral lists this signal recognition particle RNA (262 nucleotides) under Candidatus Cloacimonadota bacterium. RNAcentral describes it as "signal recognition particle sRNA large type". It matches the Rfam family "Bacterial large signal recognition particle RNA". From Rfam's summary of the family: The signal recognition particle (SRP) is a universally conserved ribonucleoprotein involved in the co-translational targeting of proteins to membranes. Archaeal SRP consists of a 7S RNA and homologues of the eukaryotic SRP19 and SRP54 proteins. Lineage: Bacteria; Pseudomonadati; Candidatus Cloacimonadota. The record is from RNAcentral.